This 497-nucleotide ribosomal RNA is filed under the name uncultured bacterium. Its description in RNAcentral is "partial 16S ribosomal RNA". It matches the Rfam family "Bacterial small subunit ribosomal RNA", at positions 28 to 507 of the family's 1533-position model. The record is from RNAcentral.
GAUGAACGCUGGCGGCGUGCCUAAUACAUGCAAGUCGAGCGAACAGACGAGGAGCUUGCUCCUCUGACGUUAGCGGCGGACGGGUGAGUAACACGUGGAUAACCUACUUAUAAGACUGGGAUAACUUCGGAAAACCGGAGCUAAUACCGGAUAAUAUAUUGAACCGCAUGGUUCAAUAGUGAAAGACGGUUUUGCUGUCACUUAUAGAUGGAUCCGCGCCGCAUUAGAUAGUUGGUAAGGUAACGGCUUACCAAGGCAACGAUGCGUAGCCGACCUGAGAGGGUGAUCGGCCACACUGGAACUGAGACACGGUCCAGACGCCUACGGGAGGCAGCAGUAGGGAAUCUGCCGCAAUGGGCGAAAGCUUGACGGAGCAACGCCGCGUGAGUGAUGAAGGUCUUCGGAUCGUAAAACUCUGUUAUUAGGGAAGAACAAAUGUGUAAGUAACUAGGCACGUCUUGACGGUACCUAAUCAGAAAGCCACGGCUAACUACGUG